AGAGUUUGAUCAUGGCUCAGGACGAACGCUGACGGUGUGCUUUAGGCAUGCAAGUCGAACGAGAAAGCCCUUCGGGGUGAGUAAAGUGGCGAACGGGUGAGUAACACGUGGGCAACCUGCCCCUCGCAGGGGGACAACCGGAGGAAACUCCGGCUAAUACCCCGUACGCUUGUUGGAUCGCAUGGUCCGGCAAGGAAAGGUAGCUUCGGCCAUCCGGCGAGGGAUGGGCCCGCGUUGCAUUAGCUAGUUGGUGGGGUAACGGCCUACCAAGGCGACGAUGCGUAGCUGGUCUGAGAGGAUGAUCAGCCACACUGGGACUGAGACACGGCCCAGACUCCUACGGGAGGCAGCAGCCAGGAAUCUUGGGCAAUGGGCGAAAGCCUGACCCAGCAACACCGUGUGGGCGAUGAAGGCCUUAGGGUCGUAAAGCCCUGUUGAUAGGGACGAAGGGCGAAGGGUUAAUAGCCCCUAGCUUGACGGUACCUUUCGAGGAAGCCCCGGCUAACUACGUGCCAGCAGCCGCGGUAAUACGUAGGGGGCGAGCGUUGUCCGGAAUUAUUGGGCGUAAAGAGCGUGUAGGCGGUUCGGUAAGUCUGCUGUGAAAUCCUGGGGCUCAACCCUGGGCGUGCAGCGGAUACUGCCGGGCUAGAGGGUGGUAGAGGCGAGUGGAAUUCCGAGUGUAGCGGUGGAAUGCGUAGAGAUCCGGAAGAACACCAGAGGCGAAGGCGGCCUGCUGGGCCUUGUCUGACGCUGAGGCGCGAAAGCGUGGGGAGCGAACAGGAUUAGAUACCCCGGUAGUCC
Molecule: ribosomal RNA, 801 nt
Filed under: uncultured Rubrobacter sp.
Lineage: Bacteria; Bacillati; Actinomycetota; Rubrobacteria; Rubrobacterales; Rubrobacteraceae
Description: bacterial SSU rRNA
Rfam family: Bacterial small subunit ribosomal RNA
Source: RNAcentral